AACAACGCUGGCGGCAGGCCUAACACAUGCAAGUCGAGCGAGGUAGCAAUACCUAGCGGCGGACGGGUGAGCAACGCGUGGGAACGUACCCUUUGCUACGGAAUAGCCCCGGGAAACUGGGAGUAAUACCGUAUGUGCCCUUCGGGGGAAAGAUUUAUCGGCAAAGGAUCGGCCCGCGUUGGAUUAGGUAGUUGGUGGGGUAAUGGCCUACCAAGCCGACGAUCCAUAGCUGGUUUGAGAGGAUGAUCAGCCACACUGGGACUGAGACACGGCCCAGACUCCUACGGGAGGCAGCAGUGGGGAAUCUUAGACAAUGGGCGCAAGCCUGAUCUAGCCAUGCCGCGUGAGUGAUGAAGGCCUUAGGGUUGUAAAGCUCUUUCAGAUGGGAAGAUAAUGACGGUACCAUCAGAAGAAGCCCCGGCUAACUCCGUG
Molecule: ribosomal RNA, 432 nt
Filed under: uncultured bacterium
Lineage: Bacteria
Description: bacterial SSU rRNA
Rfam family: Bacterial small subunit ribosomal RNA
Source: RNAcentral